This 544-nucleotide ribosomal RNA is filed under the name uncultured bacterium. Its description in RNAcentral is "bacterial SSU rRNA". It matches the Rfam family "Bacterial small subunit ribosomal RNA", at positions 777 to 1320 of the family's 1533-position model. The record is from RNAcentral.
AAUAGAUACCCUGGUAGUCCACGCCGUAAACGAUGAGUGCUAAGUGUUAGGGGGUUUCCGCCCCUUAGUGCUGCAGCUAACGCAUUAAGCACUCCGCCUGGGGAGUACGGUCGCAAGACUGAAACUCAAAGGAAUUGACGGGGGCCCGCACAAGCGGUGGAGCAUGUGGUUUAAUUCGAAGCAACGCGAAGAACCUUACCAGGUCUUGACAUCCCAUUGACCACUAUGGAGACAUAGUUUUCCCUUCGGGGACAACGGUGACAGGUGGUGCAUGGUUGUCGUCAGCUCGUGUCGUGAGAUGUUGGGUUAAGUCCCGCAACGAGCGCAACCCUUGUUCUUAGUUGCCAUCAUUUAGUUGGGCACUCUAAGGAGACUGCCGGUGACAAACCGGAGGAAGGUGGGGAUGACGUCAAAUCAUCAUGCCCCUUAUGACCUGGGCUACACACGUGCUACAAUGGGCGGUACAAACGGUUGCCAACCCGCGAGGGGAGCUAAUCCGAUAAAACCGUUCUCAGUUCGGAUUGUAGGCUGCAACUCGCCUACA